GGCAAGAUAAUCAACAGCAAUCCAAGCAAAGCUUAACAUAACUGUCUCCUCAACACCAUCUGGAAGUUGUAACUCCAGCGACCUUUGCAACCAAGUAGGGUGAUAUGUUACCUGAUACCAUGCCGAAGCCUUCUUUUCAUACAUAACAUUCUUCUCAUCAUCAGUAAGGAGCUCAAAAUCAGGUUCCAUUUGCUCAAAAACUCUCCUAAACUCCUUUCGUAGGUUAUUAUAAGCAUGCUUAAGCCUCUCUUUCAGAUCACCGAGUUUUUUGCUACUGUACUUGGGCAUUGACCAUAUAUGACCAGUAACAACCUCUUCUUCCCUGUUCACUCUGUAUUGUCCCAACAGACCAUUCAACUGUCCAUCGUACGAACACUUGGUAUUCCAUGCAUGCUCGAUGAACACCUCGGAACCAGGUAUCUCAAGGUCUGUGUCAUAAGGAAUUUUAUUUGAGGGAAAUGUUAAAUCAGAUGUUGCAGCCUCACCUUCAUCACAGGCAUCUUUGACUUGGCGAUACAACUUACCCAAAAUCUUUUUUGACUUGUAUGACUGAAAAUCUUCUUUACCCAUAAAGUCAGGAUACAUUUUUGGUUUAUAUUCAGAUGGCAUAUUCACAAUUUUUCCAGUUUUGGGGAAAUCAACUGCUGUUGCAGCAAGCUCUGCCAAUUUAAUGCACUUCUCGUCCAGUGCUCCAUAUUCACUAAGGUCAGCAUGGACAACAUGGGCAUUGCAUAUUGCACCCAGGCUUUCUGUAACCAUAUUCUUGGAGAAGAAGUCAAUAAUGUCCUGAAAGUGUGACAUCAAGGUGGAGAAAAUUAAACUACGAAUGUAAAAGAUAAUGCAUUAUGUCUCAACAACUCCAGAUUGUAAACAGGUGCACCAGGUGGGUCAAAAUAAUAAUUUAAAUAAGACUGAUUGAUCUAAUCCAUAAGAAUCACAGAAACAUACUAUUAAACACAAAAUGAACUCUAACACCUGGGUCGAUUUCAUCCAUGACAACAUGAAAAGUUUAAACAGUUUAAUUCAAAACUCAUAGCCCAUGAAGUCAUGAUUGUUCUACCUGUAGCACUUUGCAGAUGCAUUUUAUCAAUAGUUCCUAGAAUCUUAUGAUUAUUCAUAGUAUUAAUAGAACUUAAAAUUCUGAUUCUCACAUAUUUAAGGAAAAACUUCAUUAUAGCCAUGUUUCUGCUUUUCAAAAAUAAUUUGACAUACAAAAAGUAUUCUUUGUUUACAUACAAGUAACUACUGAAUGCAACUUCCAUAGUUUCUGAGACCUUUCUGAGCAAUUUAGACCAAAUCCCAAGAUCAAAGACUGUAAUUGAAUAGUUUAACAGGAUUUAGAAUGAUGAGAUAGCCAAGGCCAUCGAAAGGAAAACUCAGAUGACAGAAUCACGUAAACAAUUACCGGAUGAUUCACUUCACGAGGCAAUUUUCUAGCUUCUGCAGAUGCAUAAUCCAUUGGCAUCCAGCUCCUUUUACUAGGGGGGAUCAGAUUACCAUCCCAAGUAACAAAGUAAAGAUCUCCAUCCAGGUCACUUCCUGAAGCUUCAUU
RNAcentral lists this long non-coding RNA (1552 nucleotides) under Coffea arabica (coffee). Its description in RNAcentral is "long non-coding RNA (CARA_LNC005504)". Lineage: Eukaryota; Viridiplantae; Streptophyta; Magnoliopsida; Gentianales; Rubiaceae. The record is from RNAcentral.